GAGGUAGUAGCUCAAUGGUAGAGUUCCCGUUUCGUAGGCGGGAAGACGUGGGUUCGAUUCCCGGCUGCUUUC
Molecule: transfer RNA, 72 nt
Filed under: Toxocara canis (dog roundworm)
Lineage: Eukaryota; Metazoa; Nematoda; Chromadorea; Rhabditida; Toxocaridae
Rfam family: tRNA
About the family: Transfer RNA (tRNA) molecules are approximately 80 nucleotides in length. Their secondary structure includes four short double-helical elements and three loops (D, anti-codon, and T loops).
Source: Rfam by way of RNAcentral